UAAAACAUGAGGUAGAAGAACUAGUAAAUUUUGAAUCAUUGGUUGAUUUUCCAUGCCAUCACGCAUGUCCUCUUCUUCUCUCCUCACUAGCCACAGAAGAAAGUCACCUCACUCUGUAUCCACAAGCUACAUUGACAACUAAAUGAUGGGAGGGCACUGUGUGGCUCUCCUGGACUCCUUGGUCUCUCAAAGUGCUAAGAGGGGGAGAAUCUGAACAUGCAGCUAUGUACAGUGUCCUUUUCUUGAACCACUGCCACUUCAUCCAAUCUGGUAUAUGGCACUUGCAUGUAGUACUUCCCUCACAAUUCACUGUUCAGUAAUGUUUCCCCUGAUAGUUGUAAACCUCAGUGAUUGGAAUCCUCGGGACUGAGAUCACAGGCAUAAAAGUCUGCUUGCCCUUCUACUGAAAUCUAAUUUAUUCUUCUUUUACUAUUUGGAUGAGAUGGAGUAUUGCUGUCCAAUGCUGUGCAGUCCAUUGCUGUAUCUGGGCUGAAAGAAGAAAAUCCUUAAGAUGACUUAUUCAAUUACCUGCAUUUUCAAAAUUGUGUUAACGUACCCCAAGUUAAAACAGGUCCUCAAAGACUGGGCCAGAUAUUUUGAGGUCUGUUCCAGCCUAGGCUGCUUUAUGGUUCUGUGAUUCAAAAGGUACAUUUUAUUCUACUCUCUGACCAGCAGCAAGGCUAUAGACCUCUUCCCAGAAAUUCAGAGAUGUCAAAAUUAGGGAAAAUUCCGUACUAUGUUCACACCAGAGCUAAGUAUGUAUUUAUUAUCUUUGUUAAACUGUUUAUUUCACCUUUCUCCUUCACUCAGAUGA
Oxyura jamaicensis (ruddy duck) is the source of this 814-nucleotide long non-coding RNA. RefSeq lists it as uncharacterized. NCBI's taxonomy places the organism in Eukaryota, Metazoa, Chordata, Aves, Anseriformes, Anatidae. The transcript has 2 exons. The record is from RefSeq and is a predicted model, not a curated record.